AAUGGGUGCCGGCGUCCUCGGACGCCCGCGGAAAUCCAAUGAUAAAGCGGGACGGGCCCGCCCCCGCCCCCGCCCCCGCCGGGGCCGACGCCCACUGCGCCCUGCAAGUUCUGGGCGUGAGUCCCCGAGUGAGGAGGAGGAGAGCCCACAAGAGCCAGGUGCGCUGGCCUUGGUGCUGAAGGUUUCUUUCCAUCGUUUGAUUUAAACAUUAUUGUGGGCAGGUUUGGACAGAGAGCAAAAUUUAUCAAAGCCAAGAGCUAUUCACCCAUUCUACUCCCUUGAUAGUAUCAGGUUCUGUGCUAUCUCUGGGAUCAUAAAAAGAUGAUUCCACCUCAGAAAAAGAAACGAUGGCUGAGACAGAGUGAUCUUAGAAAGGUGCAUCUGCGAAGGCAAAAGAAACAAAAGCAAAAAUGAACUAUUGGGACUUCAUCAAGAUAAGAAGCUUUUGCACAGCAAAGGAUACAGUCAACAAAACUCAAAGACAACCUACAGAAUGGG
Molecule: long non-coding RNA, 498 nt
Organism: Canis lupus familiaris (dog)
Lineage: Eukaryota; Metazoa; Chordata; Mammalia; Carnivora; Canidae
Exons: 3
Source: RefSeq, a predicted model, not a curated record